AGUGAACGCUGGCGGCAGGCCUAACACAUGCAAGUCGAGCGGCAGCGGGUCCCCGCGAGGGGAUGCCGGCGAGCGGCGGACGGGUGAGGAACACAUCGGAAUCUGCCUGGUUGUGGGGGAUAACGUAGGGAAACUUACGCUAAUACCGCAUGCGACCCUGAGUCGACGGACUGGGGGUGAAAGUGAGGGACCUUCGGGCCUCACGCGACCAGAUGAGCCGAUGUCGGAUAGCUAGUUGGCGGGGUAACGGCCCGCCAAGGCGACGAUCCGUAGCUGGUCUGAGAGGAUGAUCAGCCACACUGGGACUGAGACACGGCCCAGACUCCUACGGGAGGCAGCAGUGGGGAAUCUUGGACAAUGGGCGCAAGCCUGAUCCAGCCAUGCCGCGUGGGUGAAG
This 397-nucleotide ribosomal RNA is filed under the name uncultured bacterium. RNAcentral describes it as "bacterial SSU rRNA". It matches the Rfam family "Bacterial small subunit ribosomal RNA", at positions 30 to 410 of the family's 1533-position model. The record is from RNAcentral.